GCCCUUUCGGGGGUACACGAGCGGCGAACGGGUGAGUAACACGUGGGUGACCUGCCCUCCACUCUGGGAUAAGCCCGGGAAACUGGGUCUAAUACCGGAUAGGACCACUGAUCGCAUGGUUGGUGGUGGAAAGUUUUUUCGGUGGGGGAUGGGCCCGCGGCCUAUCAGCUUGUUGGUGGGGUGAUGGCCUACCAAGGCGGUGACGGGUAGCCGGCCUGAGAGGGCGACCGGCCACACUGGGACUGAGACACGGCCCAGACUCCUACGGGAGGCAGCAGUGGGGAAUAUUGCGCAAUGGGCGGAAGCCUGACGCAGCGACGCCGCGUGGGGGAUGACGGCCUUCGGGUUGUAAACCUCUUUCGCCAGGGACGAAGAGCAAUUGACGGUACCUGGAGAAGAAGCACCGGCCAACUACGUGCCAGCAGCCGCGGUAACACGUAGGGUGCGAGCGUUGUCCGGAAUUAUUGGGCGUAAAGAGCUCGUAGGCGGUGUGUCGCGUCGGCCGUGAAAACUUGGGGCUUAACUCUGAGCGUGCGGUCGAUACGGGCAUCACUUGAGUUCGGCAGGGGAGACUGGAAUUCCUGGUGUAGCGGUGAAAUGCGCAGAUAUCAGGAGGAACACCGGUGGCGAAGGCGGGUCUCUGGGCCGAUACUGACGCUGAGGAGCGAAAGCGUGGGGAGCGAACAGGAUUAGAUACCCUGGUAGUCCACGCCGUAAACGUUGGGCGCUAGGUGUGGGGA
Molecule: ribosomal RNA, 740 nt
Filed under: Pseudonocardia alni subsp. carboxydivorans
Lineage: Bacteria; Bacillati; Actinomycetota; Actinomycetes; Pseudonocardiales; Pseudonocardiaceae
Description: bacterial SSU rRNA
Rfam family: Bacterial small subunit ribosomal RNA
Source: RNAcentral